This is a long non-coding RNA of Brassica oleracea var. oleracea, 288 nucleotides long. RefSeq lists it as uncharacterized. The record is from RefSeq and is a predicted model, not a curated record. NCBI's taxonomy places the organism in Eukaryota, Viridiplantae, Streptophyta, Magnoliopsida, Brassicales, Brassicaceae. The transcript has 3 exons.
AAUCAUGCUCUAAGUUAUCGUCUUAGAUGAGGUAUCUUAGUUUAGCACUCAUCUUUGGGUUUUACUUAACAUAUGGGUUUUACUUAACAAUUUAAUAUAUUCUACUAAGGCCUAAGGCCCAUGGGCCUUACAUAGAGCCUUCUUUAACCGACAUGAUACUCGAGUGUUGACUCCUUUCUCCUCAUUCUUCUUCCGGUGAGAGAGAUUUGGAAAACCGAAAGCGCGAUUUAGCCAGGUUUCAACCCCUUCAAGCCAACAUGAGUAGGCCAAUGGAAGAGGAUACCAACG